GAUGAACGCUGGCGGCGUGCCUAAUACAUGCAAGUCGAGCGAACGGAUGAGAAGCUUGCUUCUCUGAUGUUAGCGGCGGACGGGUGAGUAACACGUGGAUAACCUACCUAUAAGACUGGGAUAACUUCGGGAAACCGGAGCUAAUACCGGAUAAUAUUUUGAACCGCAUGGUUCAAAAGUGAAAGACGGUCUUGCUGUCACUUAUAGAUGGAUCCGCGCUGCAUUAGCUAGUUGGUAAGGUAACGGCUUACCAAGGCAACGAUGCAUAGCCGACCUGAGAGGGUGAUCGGCCACACUGGAACUGAGACACGGUCCAGACUCCUACGGGAGGCAGCAGUAAGGAAUCUUCCGCAAUGGGCGAAAGCCUGACGGAGCAACGCCGCGUGAGUGAUGAAGGUCUUCGGAUCGUAAAACUCUGUUAUUAGGGAAGAACAUAUGUGUAAGUAACUGUGCACAUCUUGACGGUACCUAAUCAGAAAGCCACGGCUAACUACGUG
Molecule: ribosomal RNA, 497 nt
Filed under: uncultured bacterium
Lineage: Bacteria
Description: partial 16S ribosomal RNA
Rfam family: Bacterial small subunit ribosomal RNA
Source: RNAcentral